CGAACCCGCGCGGGAGAGCCCGGAGUGCCCCGCAGGGGGCACAGCCGGCGCCGAAGGAGCAAGUCCUCCCCGGAAUCUCUCAGGCCCCCCUACCGCGCGGGUUAG
The sequence is a regulatory RNA element, 105 nucleotides long. It matches the Rfam family "Glycine riboswitch aptamer". From Rfam's summary of the family: This family represents the bacterial glycine riboswitch. The record is from Rfam.